UGGUUUUACGCCUGGACAAGACAGGAGGAUAAGGCAGGAUGGCAUAGGAGCAGGACUGUCCUACUACACACACCUGGCAUGGCCCAUGCCUCAGUGCCACAUUCAGCAGCCAUACAUGAUCAGAGUGAGAGAAGGCGGCAUCUGAGAUGCUGAAUCGAGAAGAGUUUCCAUAGCAACUCGGCCAGGGAAACCCUCCCAGAGCUGGGGAGCUCUACACCGCAGCCAUGCUGAGACACAGCCAUUCUCAGGCCAAUUCUUGCACAGCACUUAUAGAGAAGUAUGCAAGUGCCUGCUUGGGGGAACAGGCAAGGGGAUCUGUGUACAGAAGAGGGCAGAUUUACAGCCAAGAAACAAUCUAUCCCGUUAAGAGAAGCAGGUCAUUAUAUUCUUGGGGGAUCCCAAAGACUUACGAUGAUGAUUGGAAACCUCAGAACAAAAUAUUGGAGGACGGCAAUGACAGCACAUACAGGAAUGUCAUUGUCACCCAGUGUCCUUUAGCCCUGGGCAGAUGUAAAUUUCUAAUCUGGGAAUUCAAGGCUUCUUUCUACAUCCCAGUAGACAUAGCAAUCUUUUUCUACUUGGCCACUCCCAAGACUGACUACAGCAAGAAAAUCUAGGCAGCACUACAGAGAGCUCUUAUUGCCAGCACAUCUUACCUUCACAGAGAAGGCUGCUCAAGAAAGACAAGAGAUAUAUUAAAAGGAAUUUUGAAUAAAGCUUUAAGACAAGAGCCUUGAUCAAACUCCACGUGUCACAUUCUGCUGGAAGGAGAUGAACAGAGAAACCCCCCACCAGGCUGAAGCAAAGAGACUUCAGAUAGGUUAAGAAGUGUCUGCAAGAGGAGGAGGGGAUCAACUGACACUCAAAAGCAGUAUCAGCACCCUCUCCAGGAAGGCAAGAGCAGUCUGUCCCACAGAGGAUGUCUCUUUAAUCUGCAGCUAACAGGCUUGCUCCACAAAUUAGCAUGCACGAGGCUGUAGAAGCAUUUAGUAUUCAGAAAGCAUCAGUCUGAUACAAACCUAUUUGCUGCUGCUACUGCAGCAGCUGCCAGUAGUGACAGUGAGCCGUGAUGCAAGGCAGACUAUUGAGUGCUUUUUCCUUCCUGGAGGGCACCCAAGGGGACAAAGCCAGUAAUACAGUUCAGGCGUCUCCUAACUUGAGUACCACACCCAUCUCAUCCCACGCCUGCCACAAGGCAGACAGAUGGAUGUGUACCUCCCAAGUCCCUGUCAGUGCUGUGCUCCUGCAUGGUAUGAAUGCACCACAGGGCCCUGCUGUGCAUGGCUGUGGGAAUUCUCUUGAAGGAAAUACCAGAUUUCCUCUGCAAGACCUCACUGUGCACAGACCACACUUGAGUCAAGCAAAAGCAGCCUAAGGGUCUCUGUGCUCCCAGAAAAGGAGCUGGGCUCAGAUUGCAGAAAGGGACUGAGGACUUCAACACCUACAAGAAGCUCAUCCAGCCUAUUUCUUGAAAUAAGACUGAUUUUUAUCUCCAAACCGUUUAUCCACAAAAGGUGCUGCUCCCCUCCCCUAAGCUCCCACAACAGCACUUGCAUGUGUUGAAGAAGGUCAAACGUCCAGUCACUUGUUGCAGAACUAUUUAUUUGGAUGCUGACCAGAUAAAUUACUUUUUUAAGCCAGAGGACAGAAAUAACAGUUCUUCAGUCUCAGAUUAGAGGAAGUUCUGAACAUUAAAGAAGGCACUAAGGGUGAAACCUGAACAGAGCUUUGAACUGAUCAUCUGUAGAAACAGGAGUCCCCAGCAGCCCGGGUCACUGAGCGAACUGCGACUCUGCUGUCCCCAUGGAUAAGCUGGGCUUGAGCUGAGGCAGACAAUCAGAGGCAAGAGUGCCACUUAAACAUAUAAAGCAGAAUUAUUACAAGGUUGCCCCAGGACCAGCCACACAACACAACCUCUCCAUGUGUUCUAGGAAUUUUCCUUUCAGAAAAACCUGGACUAUGAUACACACACAGGCUGAGCUCAUCCUGUCACAUUAUUUUUAGACUCUGGCUCAGGGGAGAAUCUGUUGAUAUAAACAACUGUGAGUGGCAAGCACCAGCCCUUGAAAGGGAAAUUAAAAUGACUGAAUGAAGGGGAAGAGAGAGGGAGAGGAUCUUUAUUUCCCUUUGCAUCACCAAGACUUCUGGUCUGGCCUCUCCUUAACUAGAGGAAGGAAACAUACUCUUGAAAAAGACAUUCUUUUAGGAGAUUGGCUGAGCCUGUCAGGAAAGGCCCAAGCCAGCAGCACUGCACAGAAAGGAAAAGUAAUGGGGACAGUUUAUCAAAGCGUCCCUUCUCUCCUCGUCCACCUUCCCCAUACUCUCCAACACUGGUUUCAGGUCAGAGUGUCCACAUAAAAACUCAUGGAUCCCAGUAUUCCCAAAGGAGCAGCAACAUCAGGGCAGUCCAAGCCAACCAGCAGAGCUCCCACACUCCCUCCAUCAAUGGGAGGCCAAGGAUGUUAUUUCUCUUCCUUAGCAUGCAGUUUGUUCCGCCGCUCCAUUUUCUUCUGUAGUUUCCUCUUCAUCUGCAGUUGCUUUUUUUCCUGCAGUGUCUGCUGGACCUUCUCACGGAAUUUAUUGUUUUUCUUCUUGAUCUUGGCCAGCUCUGCCUUCCUUUUUUCCUCCAGAUCUGGAUCCUUUCCUUCAAGGAUCAUUUGUUUCCGCUUAUUUAUUUCUUUCUUCUCAUCAAAAUCCAUGUACUCCAGUUCUAUUUCACACUCCCUCCUUGUAACAUUCACGUGGGUAAGGAUGUCAAGCACCAAUUUCUCUUCCACAGAAAACUCCUGCAGCUUCAGUUCUAAAUCAAGAUGAGACAUUUACAUACAUGGUUGGUUGUGAAAUCCAGAGGCAGGUUCUCAACUAGUAAAUAAUCUACAUAGUUCCACCGACUAGGAGUAGAAUUGAUGUCGUAAGUUAUGAUUGUUGUCACUUCUGUAGGUCCACAACAAAGGAUUGCAUCCUCCCUUCCCUGCAAUUCCCAUAGUAAAAGAUGUUGCAUUUACUGGGUCUGUUUCCUUAAAAAAAAGGAUGAAGUCUAUGCUCUUUUCAUUCACCUCAGCACAUGCAGUAGCGAGGAAGUAAGAAAGAAGCUGUCUGCUUUAAUAAAAAGGCUACAAAGUAUGUUCAACAGACAGUUUCUCCUCCGCUAGAAACAGCAAGAGCAGAACUGAUGGAGGUUCAAGCGCUCCUAUUCCUUUCUGAGCUGUGGCUACACAGGAAAGGGAAACCAUUUUUAUGCUGCUGUUCUGAACCAUACAUCCUGGUUGAUAAAAUCCAGGCUGCAAGUACCACAGACACAAAAACAUGUACGAUUGUACACUUCAGUAGUAUUAAUGCUCCCCACUUACUGAUCUCCUCCUCAAUAGCAUGUACAAGAUGGAUGUCAUACUGGGUCACCAUUGUAAUAGAGAUUCCGUUCCGACCUGCGUGAUGAAAACACAGUGACACAUAAAUCCUGACAAGCAGAGGGAAAGGAAGCCUAACCCAUGCCAAAUUCCAUCCAUCUCCAUGAGUCAACCUAGCACAUUAUGGUGACAGGAUGCUCCAAAGGGUCUUUAUUUGCUCUAAAAAAGCAGUUAAGUACUGGUGCAGAUCAGACACAAGAUAAGCUAUCCUUGCAAUCUUAAGGCACGAUGCUGAGCCAGCAAUCUCAGUAGACUUGGCAUUGACUGAAAAGACUGUACCACAGCUGCUGUGAAGGUUUCUCACACUCAUCAGGGCACAGCCCCAGCACUGAGAUCCCAGUUUUAGCCAGCUGCAGCACUGCUGCAAGUGGUGCAGUUUGGCCCACUCACCUGCACGGGCUGUCCGGCCAACCCGGUGAAUGUAGAUUUUUGGCAGGCCUGGAGUGUUGUGGUUGAUGACAACUUGUACAGUAGGAAUGUCCAAGCCUCUGCAAUGCAGAAAGAGAGAACAGAAGCUGAUAAACUUAAUUUUAAUACAUAAAAUCUAAGUUCCUGAUCGUUGCUUUCUCCAAGAACUCAAUAUUCUCAUGAACAGAGUGUUUAUAAGCUUAUGCUAUUCUAGGACAAAUUCUCAUCUCGUGCAACUCUCCAACAGUCACAAAAGAGGAUAACCUGCAAUACAUGUCACCUGAUAUUCUCUCCUGGACCAAGAGAACAAGCUAAGCUCUGUAGAAAUCACUCUCUUGCUAGAAUACACACACCUGAGGCAGUAAAACAAGACAGGAUCAUAACUACAUUGCAUACAAAUGGGCUCCAAAACACAGCCUACAGAUGUUUUGUAAUGACAACGAACAAUCCUGACCUUCCUCCAUGGGCAGAGUCUAAAGCUCUCUUGUUAAACUCACCCUAAUCUCUACAGUGAUUCUGAUGCUUUAAAAGCAGGGUCAGGGCCUUUGGCAACAGAGACUGCAGUUUUCUCUUACCUGGCAGCAACAUCUGUAGCAAUAAGAAUCUUAAAGAUGCUGGAUUUGAACUUCGCUAAAGCUGCAAAUCGUUGCCGCUGGAAAAGGAGAAUCCUGGAUUAGGGACACUGUGACCCACAGGAGCUGUUUGGCUCAGGAAUCCAGCUAGAAGCACCCACCUCCCACACUUGUCCCAUCACUCACCUGUUUCAUCAUAGAAUGCAGAGCUACAGAAGGAAAACUGAACUUUCUAAGCAUCAUAUUCAAGAUUUGACAUUCCCUUAAAAGGAAAAAAAAUACAAUUAAAAAAAUCAAAAUACAUCAGGCAAACAGAGAGCUGACCCAUCAAGACAGAGCUGGGAUUCCUCUGGAAGCCCUCACAGUACAAUUACCACAACAUGCUUAGUUACUGAAGCACUGUGACAGAGCAGGAAAUGGGACACCCACUCCUCACUUGCUCACCCCUGAGAGGGCGACUGGAUUCCCACCUGCACCAUAUCUCAGUCCCCAGCAAUGUGAGCUCUUCCCCACCAUUUUCCAGUACCCAUCAGCAGAAGGAAAGGUGGCUGCAGGGAAGUAAAAGCAGCUUGACCUUCCAGCAUGCUACAUCUCCGAGUGGCCCUUCAGUCCCAGGCUGCUCAAAAAAAGUGUUCUUCUACCAAACUGCAGCACAGGUUGAAAAAGCAAACACCAGCAGAGCUUAACAGCAGUACAGCAGGAAUUUGGAAUCUGAAUUAGAAUCACAAAAGCACCUCUACAGCAAAAGCCAUCACUACAAAAAAUUCCGCUUACUUGCAGGUUUUGGUAAAGAUAAUAAUAGACCAGUCUUCGUGCUCAUCCUGGAAGGUCUGGAUUAAGUGGACAAGGUAUGCAUCCUUGACUGCUUCAGGUACAAGCAAGUAACGCUGGUCCAGCUCAUCUACUGUCCGCACCCUGUAGGGAAGGGACAGUAAAGCACUAAAAUCCACAGCUGUGGCAAGAGAAGGAGGAAUACAAGGGAUGUAAGAGACAGUAAGGAGGUAACAGAGAAAAAGCAGGAUGCCACGUGUGGCAGAGCACAGACACACGUACUCGGAUGCAGCCUCCCAGAAGAAAGGUCUGUUCAUGGCCAGGCUCUUCAGCUCAUUCAGCGUGUCGGUCAGCGUGGCGCUGAACAGCAGCGUCUGCCUGCGUGCCGGAACAGCCUCCAGAAUCACCUCCAGGUCCGCAGUGAAGUCAGCACAGCCCUGCUCCAACAACCGGUCAGCUUCAUCCAAGACCUAGGCACAGCCACAACUAAGUGAGAUCAUCUGCAAGUGUUCUUCCAAAACCAAAAGCCUUAAAAA
Molecule: long non-coding RNA, 5694 nt
Filed under: Gallus gallus (chicken)
Lineage: Eukaryota; Metazoa; Chordata; Aves; Galliformes; Phasianidae
Source: RNAcentral